This is a long non-coding RNA of Oreochromis niloticus (Nile tilapia), 1891 nucleotides long. RefSeq lists it as uncharacterized. The transcript is spliced from 3 exons. The record is from RefSeq and is a predicted model, not a curated record. NCBI's taxonomy places the organism in Eukaryota, Metazoa, Chordata, Actinopteri, Cichliformes, Cichlidae.
AUCUUGGCUGUCUAUGAUUAUAAGAUCUCCUCCCUGCAGCUGACAGAAAUCUCUGGAUUCCUUCCAUGUUUUGAAUUCAUUUGAUUUCAAGGGGAAGUAGUAACAUACAGGGUUCAUUAAAAUCCAUCCUGCAGGACAGUGUUUGCAGCCAUCGCCUGUUUCCAAAAAAUAAUACCACCAUUAUAGAAAAUUAUGAAACAAAUCAUUGUGCUUUUACAAUUUUAUCAUAUACAUAAAUAAUGAAACCGGUCUUACUAAACAUUGAUAAGCGUGUUCUCAUGGUUUCAAUUUCCUUUGUAACUUUUUCAAUCUGACUUUUAUAGUCAUUGCUUCGUUUCGUCUGGUGUUCAAGCUCCCAGUUGGUUUGUGUCUGACGGCUCAUCUCGCUGUCCAGCUGCUUCCUGGCAUCCUUCAUGGUUUCCACUGCAGUCUUGUAAGUGUCCUGGAGGUCGACCAGCUCUUUGCUGAUGCGUUCGGUAUCAUCGAGCGUGAGAAAUGCUGUUCAACAGCUGUCACCAAAUGGAGCACUCUAAACUCUGCACUGGAAAAAUAUUCCUUACUUCACCUGUGAUCACACACUUUGGUUUUCCAGUGCAAAUGAAGCUGGCAGAGGAAUGGCAAAGGAAAGGAAAGACCUCACUGAGCGACAAAGAUGAGGACAAAAGCUGGUGAUGAUUCAGUGCAGCUGGUCUCAGGGGAUGAAGCAAAAGCCUGAUCACCAAAAACAAGGCUGAAUGAGACGGGGGAAGUAAACAGCGAUACAUUCACCCAGACUGCUGAUGUUCCUGUAUGAACUGAGAAACUUUGAACAUCCAAGAAAAAGCUGAGGUUAUUUUCUUUACAGCUCAUAUGGAUCUUGAUUGACUGAACAUUCAGACUUUAUUCUGGACUUUGCUACGGAGAGAGGUACCAACAUGUGUGAGCACAUGUGUACACACACACAGCAUCUCACUUCAUGCUUGCCCUUCCCCUAGACUCUUGUGUCACUCAGCAGUUUGUCGUAUUAUUGUCUUAUUUGUUGAAAUUUAGGGUCCAUGAGCACAAGCAGGGAUUUUUGCUUGAUCUCAUUCUCAGAGGCCUCGCUAAUAUUUAAUGGUCGUGAAAUAUGUCAAACUUUUCUCCAUCCCUAAAGUUAAACAGCUGAGAGCAUCUUUAGCACAGCAGAGAAAAAGAUGUGCACCAUCAACCGGAGUUUAAGUGAUCCAUUUAAGUGAUCCUUAUGCCUUUGCUGCUGAUGAAAAGUUUGCAUCAGAACAAGCACUUCUAAUUGUACACUGUAAAAAAAUAUUGUAGAAUUUACGGUGAAUUACUGGCAGCUGUGGUUGCCAGAAUUUCACCGUGGAAAAUAUAGUGAUAAUGCAGAAUACAUAACGGUAUACUUGUUGAUAAAUGUAAAAUUCACAGUGAACUUUGGUUUUUGUACAAUUAUUACAUUGAAAUAAAAAACUAUUAUAAAGUAAACCAGUUAAAAUACAUUUUAAUAAGCUUGUUUACCGUCUCCUAUUGACAAAGCACAGAAGAGCUGUAUAAUACAAGACAUGCCUUUUUAUUCAAAAGUUCAUAUUUACAUGAAAUUAUUGGCAGCUGUUGCAGCCAGAAUGUUGUCUAAAAAGAUUAAGGUCCAACAAAUGAGGUAAUAAACAUAAUAGGGCUAAUAGAAAAAUUAGAAUAGAAUAAAAUUGUUUUAAAAUUUGUCAUAAUUUGCUAGAAACAUUAAUAAAAACCAGUAGAGACAAUGAUUAAAUUAAACAGUUAAUAUCCAUCCGCUUCCACUUAUCCUUUUUCAGGGUCGCGCUGGAGCCUAUCCCAGCUUUCAUGGGGCGAGAGGCGGGGUACACCCUGGACAGGUCACCAGUCUGUCACAGGGCUAACACACAGGGACAGACAACCA